RNAcentral lists this unclassified non-coding RNA (511 nucleotides) under Bombus terrestris (buff-tailed bumblebee). Its description in RNAcentral is "misc RNA ENSBTSG00005032047.1". The record is from RNAcentral. Lineage: Eukaryota; Metazoa; Arthropoda; Insecta; Hymenoptera; Apidae.
GAGGUCUUUAGAGUAUAAGAUAUAUGUAUAACUGUUGUGUGCUAAAUAAAGGGAAUUAUUUGUAUUUCCGAAUCCAUUCUAUAUCUUUACAUGGUAGCAGAGCGUGGUUCAAAGUUUUCCAGUUAUUUUAGUGCAUGGUUUUCAAUAUUGCGAGUUAGAUCGAGUGAGUCUUCAGUAAGGAAAGAAACGUUCAAAGGUUACAAAGAGGAAAAAUACACUUCGAGCACGUAGGAACGCUUGAGUAAGAGAUAAGGAAUCAUUUUAAAUGGAGAGAUUGGAAAUCAUGAUACCUAUUUUCGAUGGAUAUUUACGGUAUGUGGAAGCAAAGAAUAACGAUGUUUAUCAAGUAUAGAGAAUGCGAGGUUGUCACAACUAGGGUGAAGACAGAAACAGACAGUGAAGACUGGGACAAAAAGGAUCCGAAGGCAAUAAAUAUAAUUUAUAGUGCAAUCACAAACAGACCAUUGGAAUAUAUUAGAGAAGAAAAAACGGCGUAUGAGAUAGUAAAAAA